Molecule: ribosomal RNA, 1442 nt
Filed under: Marinococcus sp. BS6_70
Lineage: Bacteria; Bacillati; Bacillota; Bacilli; Caryophanales; Bacillaceae
Description: bacterial SSU rRNA
Rfam family: Bacterial small subunit ribosomal RNA
Source: RNAcentral
GCAGUCGUAACAAGGUAACCGUAAGGACUCCUUCGGGAGGAAACCGGUGGAACAAGCGGCGGACGGGUGAGUAACACGUGGGCAACCUGCCGGACUGAUGGGAAUAACCCCGGGAAACCGGGGCUAAUGCCCAAUACGCCCUGAUCUCGCCUGAGGUCAGCGGUAAAGCAGGGAUCUUCGGAUCCUUGCACAGUCCGAUGGGCCCGCGGCGCAUUAGCUAGUUGGAGAGGUAAGGGCUCCCCAAGGCGACGAUGCGUAGCCGACCUGAGAGGGUGAUCGGCCACACUGGGACUGAGACACGGCCCAGACUCCUACGGGAGGCAGCAGUAGGGAAUCAUCCGCAAUGGGCGAAAGCCUGACGGUGCAACGCCGCGUGAGUGAUGAAGGUUUUCGGAUCGUAAAGCUCUGUUGACAGGGAAGAACCCACGCCAGUCGAACAGGCUGGCGUGCUGACGGUACCUGUCCAGAAAGCCCCGGCUAACUACGUGCCAGCAGCCGCGGUAAUACGUAGGGGGCAAGCGUUGUCCGGAAUUAUUGGGCGUAAAGGGCACGCAGGCGGUUUCGUCAGUCCGAUGUGACAGGCCACGGCUCAACCGUGGAAGGCCAUUGGAAACUGCGAGACUUGAGGACAGAAGAGGAGAGUGGAAUUCCACGUGUAGCGGUGAAAUGCGUAGAUAUGUGGAGGAACACCAGUGGCGAAGGCGACUCUCUGGUCUGUACCUGACGCUGAGGUGCGAAAGCAUGGGGAGCAAACAGGAUUAGAUACCCUGGUAGUCCAUGCCGUAAACGCUGAGUGCUAGGUGUUAGGGGUUUCGAUACCCGUAGUGCCGAAGCUAACGCAUUAAGCACUCCGCCUGGGGAGUACGACCGCAAGGUUGAAACUCAAAGGAAUUGACGGGGGCCUGCACAAGCGGUGGAGCAUGUGGUUUAAUUCGACGCAACGCGAAGAACCUUACCAGAUCGUUGAGUGCUAGGUGUUAGGGGUUUCGAUACCCGUAGUUCCGAAGCUAACGCAUUAAGCACUCCGCCUGGGGAGUACGACCGCAAGGUUGAAACUCAAAAGGAAUUGACGGGGGCCUGCACAAGCGGUGGAGCAUGUGGUUUAAUUCGACGCAACGCGAAGAACCUUACCAGAUCUUGACAUCUUACGCUACGCCUCGAGAGAGGCGGUUCCCCUUCGGGGGACGAAAUGACAGGUGGUGCAUGGUUGUCGUCAGCUCGUGUCGUGAGAUGUUGGGUUAAGUCCCGCAACGAGCGCAACCCCUAAUCUUAGUUGCCAGCAUUCAGUUGGGCACUCUAAGGUGACUGCCGGUGACAAACCGGAGGAAGGUGGGGAUGACGUCAAAUCAUCAUGCCCCUUAUGAUGUGGGCUACACACGUGCUACAAUGGAUGGUACAACGGGACGCGAACCCGCGAGGGGGAGCCAAUCCAGAAAAGCCAU